RNAcentral lists this transfer RNA (77 nucleotides) under Aggregatibacter actinomycetemcomitans NUM4039. RNAcentral describes it as "tRNA-Met". The record is from RNAcentral. Lineage: Bacteria; Pseudomonadati; Pseudomonadota; Gammaproteobacteria; Pasteurellales; Pasteurellaceae.
AUAAUACGCCCCGCAAAGUCAAUGAGAUGGUUGCAAAGAAAUGGCUAUGUAGCUCAGUUGGUUAGAGCACAACACUC